UACGGAGGGGGCUAGCGUUGUUCGGAAUUACUGGGCGUAAAGCGCACGUAGGCGGUCUUUUAAGUCAGAGGUGAAAGCCCGGGGCUCAACUCCGGAAUUGCCUUUGAAACUGGAAGACUUGAACACGGGAGAGGCGAGUGGAAUUCCGAGUGUAGAGGUGAAAUUCGUAGAUAUUCGGAGGAACACCAGUGGCGAAGGCGGCUCACUGGACUCUUGUUGACGCUGAGAUGCGAAAGCGUGGGGAGCAAACAGG
RNAcentral lists this ribosomal RNA (253 nucleotides) under uncultured bacterium. Its description in RNAcentral is "partial 16S ribosomal RNA". It matches the Rfam family "Bacterial small subunit ribosomal RNA", at positions 524 to 776 of the family's 1533-position model. The record is from RNAcentral.